Mauremys mutica (yellowpond turtle) is the source of this 895-nucleotide long non-coding RNA. RefSeq lists it as uncharacterized. Lineage: Eukaryota; Metazoa; Chordata; Testudines; Geoemydidae. The record is from RefSeq and is a predicted model, not a curated record. The transcript is spliced from 3 exons.
GUUAAGGAUUGCCACAUUCAAAUGCCUAGAGGACAGCAAAAACAUCACAGCCUUCUGAGGACUACGUAAGGGCAUUGGCCCAGUUCUGAUUCAAAGGAAAGAAUCACCAACAUCCCUUACUGCAGCAUCCCAGGUUUACCUUGGAGGUGUUCCAUCCAAGUACUGAGCAGGCCCGCCAUCCUUUGCUUAUGAGACCUUACAAGAGCACAACCUAUCACGCUGAAGUAUGUAUGGACGUGGUUGAGAAAAAAGACAUUCUGCUCACUGCCAGAUCUUCCAGAUAAUAUGGACAACAUACUCUCCUACUUAGCGUAUUUGCAACAUACCUCACGUGGCACGUGACAUCACUGAAUUUGGAUCACUGGUUGGAUCAUUAACUUCCCCGGCUUGGGCCAGGUAUGAUUGGGAGUGCACUGUGAAUGCUGAUCUAUGCCUCCCAACAUACUAAAUAUCUGCCAUCCAUAUUGUUAUGACAAGUUUCGCUGAAUGGUGCUGUUACACAUAGUCGUCCAAAUAUUUUUCUUAGCAUUCAAGCAAGUUUUGACUGUCAGGAAGACAUGCUAUGUUGUUAUUUAGUUUUAGGUUACAUAAUGUUUUUGUGUGUAGACAACUUUGGGAAGAAAGGGCAGCAGGAGGAUUUGCUCCAGACCCACCAACAGCAAUUCCGGGCCCCACAGCAGAACAGUCGCGGAUGUGGUUCACCUGACAUUUGGGAGAUUCUGCUCCUGUGCUGGAUGGUGCCCAGUGAGCUGCCAGCUGCGCUGCUGGGUGCGCUUUUCCGGCACAGCCACGGCUCCCACAUGCAAGCCCAGUAGGGUUGCCAGCUGUCUAAUCGCGCAAACCCAAAGACCCUUGCCUCGCCCCCUGCCCUUUCCCUGAGACCACACCCUUGUCC